RNAcentral lists this transfer RNA (84 nucleotides) under Fervidicoccus fontis. Its description in RNAcentral is "tRNA-Leu". It matches the Rfam family "tRNA". From Rfam's summary of the family: Transfer RNA (tRNA) molecules are approximately 80 nucleotides in length. Their secondary structure includes four short double-helical elements and three loops (D, anti-codon, and T loops). Further hydrogen bonds mediate the characteristic L-shaped molecular structure. tRNAs have two regions of fundamental functional importance: the anti-codon, which is responsible for specific mRNA codon recognition, and the 3' end, to which the tRNAs corresponding amino acid is attached (by aminoacyl-tRNA synthetases). tRNAs cope with the degeneracy of the genetic code in two manners: having more than one tRNA (with a specific anti-codon) for a particular amino acid; and 'wobble' base-pairing, i.e. permitting non-standard base-pairing at the 3rd anti-codon position. Lineage: Archaea; Thermoproteati; Thermoproteota; Thermoprotei; Fervidicoccales; Fervidicoccaceae. The record is from RNAcentral. RNAcentral also lists the same sequence under 3 other names.
GCGGGGGUGCCCGAGCUGGACGAAGGGGGCGGACUUAAGAUCCGUUGGCGAAGGCCUGCGUGGGUUCAAAUCCCACCCCCCGCA